AUGAAUAAACUACGCAACUUCUUAACACUAUCUUUUGAAGCUGCCAUUAAACUUUUUACAUUUUGCCUAGUUACGUAUGAACGACGAAUUAUGUCAUCAUUGCCAACCGAACAAUUUUCUAAAGUCAAUGUUUCAGACUUUGAAAGAGACAAUGCAAGAUCAUGCACAAGGUCAUGCAUCUUGCACCAUAUAAUAUUCCUAAAAUCAUCCAUUUCCACAUCUUGCAAAAAGGAGUUCUGAAGUAAGGCAUUAAAAUACAUGUUGCCCUCAUCUUCAUUAGAUGACCCAAGAAGACCUUCAGCCAUCCAAAGCUGAAUUAAUUGUUCUUUUUCAAUCGUAAAAUCUUUUGGGAAAAUUGAACAGUAUGCGAAACAUGAUUUCAGGUAUGAAGGCAAGUGAUCAAAACUUAG
RNAcentral lists this unclassified non-coding RNA (410 nucleotides) under Hevea brasiliensis (rubber tree). The record is from RNAcentral. Lineage: Eukaryota; Viridiplantae; Streptophyta; Magnoliopsida; Malpighiales; Euphorbiaceae.